This 253-nucleotide ribosomal RNA is filed under the name uncultured bacterium. RNAcentral's name for it is "partial 16S ribosomal RNA". It matches the Rfam family "Bacterial small subunit ribosomal RNA", at positions 524 to 776 of the family's 1533-position model. The record is from RNAcentral.
UACGAAGGGGGCUAGCGUUGUUCGGAAUUACUGGGCGUAAAGCGCGCGUAGGCGGAUAUUUAAGUCAGGGGUGAAAUCCCGGGGCUCAACCCUGGAACUGCCUUUGAUACUGGAUAUCUGGAGUUCGGGAGAGGUGAGUGGAAUUCCGAGUGUAGAGGUGAAAUUCGUAGAUAUUAGCUAGAACACCAGUGGCGAAGGCGGCCAACUGGUCCGGUACUGACGCUGAGGUGCGAAAGCGUGGGGAGCAAACAGG